ACAAGUGUAGUUUGUAAGUCGCUCUGGAUAAGAGCGUCUGCUAAAUGACUUAAA
Molecule: non-coding RNA, 54 nt
Organism: Salmo salar (Atlantic salmon)
Lineage: Eukaryota; Metazoa; Chordata; Actinopteri; Salmoniformes; Salmonidae
Source: Rfam